Piliocolobus tephrosceles (Ugandan red Colobus) is the source of this 4757-nucleotide RNA transcript. It is a transcript of the gene named interleukin 5 receptor subunit alpha, with no coding region annotated. NCBI's taxonomy places the organism in Eukaryota, Metazoa, Chordata, Mammalia, Primates, Cercopithecidae. The transcript has 13 exons. The record is from RefSeq and is a predicted model, not a curated record.
GCACAUAAACAAAACAGAAAUGCAAUGGCUUAGAGCACCCACAGAAAACUUGAUUACCUUGUCACCAUGAGUAAAAGCUAAUUCCAACUCCUGAAGAGAGCAAACCAGCUCUGAAAGAGAGUGAAAACGCAGACGAGACAGUUAUCAGAUAAUGGCUAUCUGGACGAGAGAUUCUUUCAUUUGACAGCAGUUUGGUUGUUGGGAGUUCCAGUUCGGCUUCUACAUAGUUGCUCUGUACAAAUCCUCCUCCAUAUUUGCUUAGAGAAAAUGUGUUGCCAUCCCAUCUUGAAGGAAGCUGCCCAAGAGUUUUUAACCAUUACAGCUGUGAUGAUGAAAGAGUGAAGAACCGCCUCUAAGUUAAAAAGUGCACCCAGAGAUAAAGCUCAUUCUCAAUGCCCUGCCGCUGCUUCUCAUCGAUGGUCACUGCACUUCUCAGUAAGUGGGAAUCAAAUGCUUCACUCACCACAGAGGCCAGGCACACUGAGCAUCGGUCCUGUGCCUGACACUGUGCUAUAUGCUGGUGUUGCAGCCAUGAGCAUAGACACGACAGACACGGUCCUCGCCAUCUACUGUUGAGUACUGAUUGGAACAAGAGGAUCGUCUGUAGACAGGAUAUGAUCAUCAUGGCACCUGUAUUACUGAUACUUUUGGGGGCCACUGAGAUACUGCAAGCUGACUUACUUCCUGAUGAAAAGAUUUCACUUCUCCCACCUAUCAAUUUCACCAUUAAAGUUACUGGCUUGGCUCAAGUUCUUUUACAUUGGGAAUCAAAUCCUGAUCAAGAGCAAAGGAAUGUUAAUCUAGAAUAUCAAGUGAAAAUAAACGCUCCAAAAGAAGAUGAUUAUGAAACCAGAAUCACUGAAAGCAAAUGUGUAACCAUCCUCCACAAAGGCUUUUCAGCAAGUGUGAGGACCAUCUUGCAGAACGACCACUCACUCCUGGCCAGCAGCUGGGCUUCUGCUGAACUUCAUGCCCCACCAGGGUCUCCCGGAACCUCAGUUGUGAAUUUAACUUGCACCACAAACACUACAGCAGAUAAUUAUUCACAUUUAAGGCCAUACCAAGUUUCCCUUCACUGCACCUGGCUUGUUGGCACAGAUGCCCCUGAGGACACGCAGUAUUUUCUCUACUAUAGGUAUGGCUCUUGGACUGAAGAAUGCCAAGAAUACAGCAAAGACUCACUGGGGAGAAACAUCGCAUGCUGGUUUCCCAGGACUUUUAUCCGCAGCAGAGGGCGUGACUGGCUUGCAGUGCUUGUUAACGGCUCCAGCAAGCACUCUGCCAUCAAGCCCUUUGAUCAGCUGUUUGCCCUUCACGCCAUUGAUCGAAUAAAUCCUCCACUGAAUGUCACAGCAGAGAUUGAAGGAACUCGUCUCUCUAUCCAAUGGGAGAAACCAGUGUCUGCCUUUCCAAUCCAUUGCUUUGAUUAUGAAGUAAAAAUACACAAUGCAAGGAACGGAUAUUUGCAGGUAGAAAAAAUGAUGACCAACACAUUCAUCUCAAUAAUUGAUGAUCUUUCUAAGUAUGAUGUUCAAGUGAGAGCAGCAGUGAGCUCCAUGUGCAGAGAGGCGGGGCUCUGGAGCGAGUGGAGCCAACCUAUUUAUGUGGGAAAAGAUGAACACAAGCCCUUGAGAGAGUGGUUUCUCAUUGUGCUUAUGGCAACCAUCUGCUUCAUCUUGUUAAUUCUCUUGCUCAUCUGUAGAAUAUGUCAUUUAUGGAUCAAGUUGUUUCCACCAAUUCCAGCACCAAAAAGUAAUAUCAAAGAUCUCUUUGUAACCGCUAACUAUGAGAAAGCUGGUUCCGUUGAGACAGAAAUUGAAGUCAUCAGUUAUAUAGAGAAGCCUGGAGUUGAGACCCUGGAGGAUUCUGUGUUUUGACUGCCACUGUGGCAUCCUCUGAUGAACUCACACACACAUGCCUCAGUGAAAAGAAGAACAGGGAUGCUGGUUCUUGGCUAAGAGGUGUUCAGAAUUUAUGGAAUACUCAAUUUAGCUGUGAAGCAAUACACACAGACACAUCAGUCUUAUAUCCCUUAAAAGUAUGGAUGCUUCAUCAAAAUCUCCUCGCCCACAGCAGGGAAGUUGAUUCGUCCAAGCAUUUUGCCUUGUUUUUUCUCACCACUCCGAACAGGGUAGCACCUCCUCACCUGCAGAUCUUUGCAAUUUCCUUGACUUACCUCAAACUUUUCUUACACAAUAGAUAGCUUUUAAGGCUAACGUCCAGCUGUCUUUACUUCUAACAGUGCCCGUUUGGUUGUUUAAGCUGCCAAUGGUAGCACUCAGCUACCAUCUGAGGAAGAAAGCAUUUUGUACCAGCUUGGAGUGAAUCAUGAACUUGGAUUCAAGACUAUCUUUUCUAUAGCAAGUGAGAACCACAAAUUCUUCACCCCCCUACAUUCUAGAAUGAUCUUUUUAUAGGUAGAGUGAGUGUGUGUGUGUGUGUGUGUGUGAGUGAGAGAGAGAGAGAGAAAUUAUCUCAAGCUCCAGAGUCCUGAUCCAGGAUACAUCAUUUGAAACCAACUAAUUUAAAAGCAUAAUAUAGCUAAGAUAUCACCCCAUAUUGAAAGAGAGGACAGGAUUUCGUUCAAAUAUUACAUUCUUGAAGGAAGACUUAAUAUUCUGGAAAUAUGCUGAGAAAGUCAUUGAGCAUAAUUCAAUCAUGAAAGGGAUCACUGAAUCAAGAAGGAACUUUCUGAAGAGACAUUUGCUGCCAAAGGCUUCAGAGCAACUCAAGUAAUGCCAGGUCAAUCCUAGUCUCUCAAGUUUGGAAAGGUUUCUACAAGGCCAUCCCAUCAAAUAUCCCAAAUCUAUACAGAAGUUCUUCUUCCUAACAUCUUCACAUAUGAGUCUGCAUCCAGAUUGGAGGCCUUUGUGAUGGGUGAUGAACUACAGGUGGAACCAAGUACAGGUGUGUCCUGGGCAGAGAUGGGCCAGAGGAAGGAACCCAAACAGUGCUGAUUCUACGUGACCCUGAGUCAGGAAGCUGAAGGCUGAGAAAGGAGUUCUCAGGUGAUGCCAAUGCUGCUGGUCUCUAGAACACACUCGGAGAACUGCUGCUCCGGGAGAGUCUUAUGAAUACCAAAAUUUGAAAAUCAGCCGCUGAAGGAAGAAGUGACAGAAAAGGCCUGUCCCCAGAAAACGGUCCUUUUGGGGAGGCUUGAAGCACCCUGUCUGAUCUCUUUCAAACCAGAACCUAGACAGUUGGCAUUGUGGAAGCUGCCUCUGCUUAGGAGGCAGGAACAGAAGCAGGGAGCUCCCCCCAACAAAGGUGGCCGGCUCUUCAGUGCUUGGUGUGGUGCUCGCUUCAGAGACUCCUCCCUCCAACUCAGCAGCCGUAGAUCACCUGCGCUCUGUGCAGCUCCUUGCCACACUUCCCUGAGCUGGUACCAUUAAUCUGGCCCUUGGUAUAUGUGUUUCAGGAGCAACACGAAGUAGCCCAUGUGGCCUCCUUGGUGGAUUGGGAACUUCUUCCUCCCUUCUUGCCUUGUGGAACUCAUAGUCAUUCUUUGGGAACCCAUAAUCAUCAUCACUUCUUCCAUGAAGCCUUCAGAAGCAGAGUUUGUUGAUCCCACCUCUGGAUUCUCAUUCUGGGCCUCAUCCUCUAGACUGCGAGUUCCAGGAGGAUGGAGCUUGUGUGAAAUAUGUCUUUUCAUCUGCAGUGUCUAGGACAGUAUCUGACCUAGAAAAUAUGUUUCUUAAGCCCUCUGUCAGCCCUGAUACGGCACCUUGUAUAUAGGUUAGACUGAACAGUAUUUGGCAGAGAUCCUCAAGGCCUACAAUAAUAACACGGGGAGGAAGCUGGGUAUCUAACAACAAUGUGGUUAGAAGCAACCAGGAGACACAUGUGCCUAACCACUGGGCUACUGUGACCUGGAUGUUUUUGCUGCCAAAGUGUCUAAACGGUUAUGUAUAAAUUGCUGUGUAACAGGCGUUUCAGAAGUGGCUCAUUUUGAGUGGUCUAUACUGUUCUCACUAGCCUUGUCACGGCAAGUCAAAGAGUUUGAAAUUCACUUAGCAGUAAACACCAUCAGCGACAGGUUGAUGUCAGGUAAAGUCAUGAUAUCGGCUCCCAUCUCUUGCCAUCUCCCACUAGAACAGGGUAGAGAGUCACUUUUCUCCUAGAGCCUCCAUGGCCACAGGAUCAGAACAAACAUGCUUUUCCAAGACAUCCGAUCCAAUAGGGAUUUUAGCCCAAUUUCUUUCCUUGGCAUUUGGAAUUCACUGCAUGCAGCAUGGGGGAGUGCUGGAGAGACGGGAGGGUGAAGGUCAUGUUUGCCAAUAGCCAGACCACCUGAGCCUCAUUGAAAUGCCUCAGACCUCAAGCUAUUCAUGCAGGCUGGGGAAGAAUCCAUGUGGGCAAAGAACAUCCUGAUUAAAAAUGCAAACGUUUUCAUGGUGAGACUUUUAUGUGUCAGGACCAUCUGCUGGUGGAAUUAAUAAGCCUUAGGUGCUAAUUUGUUAAAGAAAAAGUAGAUAUCUGGAAGUGAGAACAGAGAACUGAAAACAAUCUUUGAUGGCACAAGUAAAGGUGAAAAACCUAAUUAGAAUAGGACUUGGUGCUAGCCUAAGGACUGUAGCUAUUCCUGCUUCUACAUCCUUCAAAUUGAGUACCAGGGUGCAAAGUUUUUGAAAACCAUUUCUUUCUUUGGAAUUUUGCAUUGUACCAAAAGACAAUUUUGUUUAUUUCCUGUUUUGUAGGUAAUAGAUGUGAAUAUAAGUAUUUCAAAAUGAGAACUAUUAAACAUAAAUGACAGUGAA